UUUCUUCUUCUUCUACCUCCUUCCCUUCGUCUGCUUCAAUUACAAUUGAUCAUAAAAAAUAUGAUCCAAUAGAUAGCGUAACCAAAUAUAUCUGUUCAACAAUUUCAUUGGAGAUUUCGCAAAAAUGAACUAUUGGAUUGGGUCUUCGAAAUUUUGAAGGAGAAAUUAAAUAAAACAUAGACGUAAAAUAGAUUGAGAAGAAGAAUUAGAAGGUUUUUUCUUCUUUCUCAAAUUAUACGGUAGAUUUUCACUCUUAAUUCUAGUUCUCGAUCGGAAAAUAAGAAUCAUCUUUUAUGGGUUUAUUUGAGAAAAAUAACAAGAAAAACUCUCGAUCGGAAAAUAAAAUAAGAAUCAUCUUUUUUUUCUUCUUCUUCUUCUUCUAUAGAAUGCAAUUAAAGUCCUCGGAUAUUUAUAUAUAUAUAUAUAUAUAUAUGUUAUGAAUUUUCAGGUAAAGUUAUAAAUGAGUAUUUGAAAUUUUAGGAAACUUGGGUAAUAUGGAUUAUUUUUUCCGCUACGAUCAAAACCGGAGAUGUUGAGAAAGGGACAAUCGUUGAAUAAAUGAUUGAAGAAGUAGUGAGGGACAAUGUUCAUUUGAGGAGCUUAAUUAAUAUUUGUGUAGCUAAAAGGAAAGUGGGUGUAACUUUCUUAAAUGACACAAGCUCAAGAUCACACCAGGUUAUAAGAUGGUGUCCCAUGUACUAUCACUUUAAGCUUGCAUUUCUGGUGUGGCUCCAACUUCCAUCUUUUGAUGGGGAGACAUGGAAAGACCGGAUCAUUUUGUAGGCUUAUAUAAUUGUACAAGAUGAUGCAACGCAGUGCAAGUUGGAUAGGCAUGGUUGAUAUUUUUUCUCAGUCUGUGCGGACUAGGGUGGCAGUCUGGCUACCAUGGAGUUUGGAUUUUUUUG
Molecule: RNA transcript, 905 nt
Organism: Papaver somniferum (opium poppy)
Lineage: Eukaryota; Viridiplantae; Streptophyta; Magnoliopsida; Ranunculales; Papaveraceae
Gene name: kinesin-like protein KIN-7A
Exons: 6
Source: RefSeq, a predicted model, not a curated record